Regulatory RNA element from Micromonospora krabiensis, 173 nucleotides. It matches the Rfam family "FMN riboswitch aptamer (RFN element)". From Rfam's summary of the family: The RFN element is a highly conserved domain that is found frequently in the 5'-untranslated regions of prokaryotic mRNAs that encode for flavin mononucleotide (FMN) biosynthesis and transport proteins. This element is a metabolite-dependent riboswitch that directly binds FMN in the absence of proteins. NCBI's taxonomy places the organism in Bacteria, Bacillati, Actinomycetota, Actinomycetes, Micromonosporales, Micromonosporaceae. The record is from Rfam.
ACGCGCUGGCGGGACUCGGUGUAAUUCCGAACCGGCGGUGAUCCACGGCUGCGGCCGUGGUCAGCCCGCGACCCGGACGGCUCUGCCGCCCGGUGGACCUGGUGAGAACCCAGGGCCGACGGUUGGGGGCGGGCCUUCCCGCGCCCAGACAGUCCGGAUGGGAGACAGCGCGC